This 790-nucleotide long non-coding RNA is filed under the name Ananas comosus (pineapple). Its description in RNAcentral is "long non-coding RNA (ACOM_LNC039908)". Lineage: Eukaryota; Viridiplantae; Streptophyta; Magnoliopsida; Poales; Bromeliaceae. The record is from RNAcentral.
AAGGCAGAUCGGCCGCGGGUGGCGCGGCUUCGAGUCGAGGACGGCAGCGGUGGCGGCUUCAGGCAGAUCGGCCGCGGGUGAUCAGGUAUUGUGUAUUCAUGAUUCAGAUUAAAGUAUGUGUAUGUAUGGUUAUCAGGUAUUGUGGAUUCAUGGCUUCCAAUAAACGCAAGCGUUUAUUGUUAAUUACCCCUACAAAGUGUUAGGGCACCUUCGAUUAAGAGACCUCUGAAAUGUUGAAGAUAAACUGGAAUUGGACAAAAAGAAAUUUAUAAUUUAUUGCUCAAUUACAUGGCUUUAACUAAGGGCAUACCCUCAGUGUACAUGAAUAGAGCGUAAAGAGAAUGUAUUUUUCAAUUGUAUCUUAGUUAUAUAUUCUAAGAUACCCAAUAUAUGGUCAAAUUAAUUUUGUUGGACUCUAUAUGUUGUGGAGCUCAACGCUAUUCACCCUAAGAUGAAAGAUUGAUUAAAUUCCAUAUAUAUAUACAUUGGAAUUUAAUCAGAUUUAAUUCAGAUUAAACUCUAAUUAUAUGUAUUAGAGUUUGAUUUGGUUAAUUGAACUUUAAAUGUAUGUGAUAAAGUCCAAUAGAUGAUCAGAUUUUGUUGAGCUUUAUAUAUUUUGGAGCUCAACUUUGUUUACCAUGAGAUGAAAGAUUGAUUAAAUCCUAUAUAUAUGCAUUGGAAUUUAAUCGAACUUGAUUAAACUCUGAACUUUAAAUAUAUGUAAUAAAGUCCAAUAGAGUUUGAUUUGAGCUUUCAUCCUAAAUAUAUGUGUUAGGAUUAGCCCCAAAUA